This 1042-nucleotide long non-coding RNA is filed under the name Cyanistes caeruleus (blue tit). RNAcentral's name for it is "lncRNA (ENSCCEG00000006615.1)". The record is from RNAcentral. Lineage: Eukaryota; Metazoa; Chordata; Aves; Passeriformes; Paridae.
UCUUGUGUAGGGCUGCGGAAGCUCGUGGGCACCCUCCAAAAGUGGUGGAUUUCCAAAAAAGACAAGACAGAGCAAGAGUCAUAAAAUUUCAUCCAGUAACACCUUCCUCAGAGCCAUCCAGAGUCUUGAUAGCAACUGUUAGCAGAUGUUCAGAAAGGUCCCUAUGAAGGUACUGUUUCUCCAGCAGCAGAGUCCCAGAGAGAUUACAGAAGCCUGUGUGCUUCCUGGCAAAGAAUUUCUCAGGCAUUUUGUAGAGCCAAGAGACAUCAUUCCCAGCAAGCAUUGUCAAUAAUGAAUUUUUUUUUGCUGCUUUGGGGAUAGCUCAAUAGAGAGUUGCAGAUUUUUGGAGUUUUUCUCAAUUUAUUAUUUCUGUUACUGAUUCAAACGAGACUAUUCUGCCUUUCUGUUCCUGAUCCAAGUAUAGCUUUUUGUAUUUUUAUCUGCAGCAGAAUUCAAAUUUUAUAACACAGGUUGCUGUGAUACUUAUAAUUAUUGUUUAUUUUAGCUGAAUUUGUGUUGAAUCAACCAGUUUGUUGUAAAUUAGAUCAUAUCCCAAAACACUGAAUUUAUCAGCAAGAGUUUGAUCUGUCAUUUACCACUGUUGUAAAAUAGCUGAAUUUCAGAUAGGCUGUAUAAAGUUUAACUUCUAUAGUAUGAAAUGAGACUUCAAUUGUUGAACUGACAUGUCUGCUCAAACUGUUUCCAUGUAUUCUCAUGGCUUCAUAUGCCUUCUUUGUUUAACUAAAAUUAUAAUGCAUACAGUAGAAGUUAGCAAUUGAAAUUCAAAUUUCAAGUCUUUCAUUCUUCAAUCACUUUCUCUUACCCCUACAUAAUUUCUUAACACAAAAUGUCUAUUACAUUUUUCACAUUAUUCUUCUUUUAAAACUCAGUAUUGUCUCCUUCCCUGGGGAAAAAAUCCUGUCAUUUUUUUGUGAUCCUUGAAGUUUCUGAACAUUAUACAUCUGUUGUUUAUUUACUUUGUGAACAGGAAUGCAGAUAGAUGGAAACCUUAAAAAAAAAUAAAAUGAAUGUGUGCAGAACA